GCGCCCGUAGCUUAACGGACAAAGCACGAGGCUUCGAACCUUGGGAUGGGGGUUCGAUUCCCUCCGGGCGCGCCA
RNAcentral lists this transfer RNA (75 nucleotides) under Bacillota bacterium. RNAcentral's name for it is "Firmicutes bacterium (sediment metagenome) tRNA-Arg". It matches the Rfam family "tRNA". From Rfam's summary of the family: Transfer RNA (tRNA) molecules are approximately 80 nucleotides in length. Their secondary structure includes four short double-helical elements and three loops (D, anti-codon, and T loops). Further hydrogen bonds mediate the characteristic L-shaped molecular structure. tRNAs have two regions of fundamental functional importance: the anti-codon, which is responsible for specific mRNA codon recognition, and the 3' end, to which the tRNAs corresponding amino acid is attached (by aminoacyl-tRNA synthetases). tRNAs cope with the degeneracy of the genetic code in two manners: having more than one tRNA (with a specific anti-codon) for a particular amino acid; and 'wobble' base-pairing, i.e. permitting non-standard base-pairing at the 3rd anti-codon position. The record is from RNAcentral. Lineage: Bacteria; Bacillati; Bacillota.